This 76-nucleotide transfer RNA is filed under the name Arenicella chitinivorans. RNAcentral's name for it is "tRNA-Val". It matches the Rfam family "tRNA". From Rfam's summary of the family: Transfer RNA (tRNA) molecules are approximately 80 nucleotides in length. Their secondary structure includes four short double-helical elements and three loops (D, anti-codon, and T loops). Lineage: Bacteria; Pseudomonadati; Pseudomonadota; Gammaproteobacteria; Arenicellales; Arenicellaceae. The record is from RNAcentral.
GGGCGCUUAGCUCAGUUGGUAGAGCAUCGCCCUUACAAGGCGAGGGUCAGUGGUUCAAGUCCACUAGCGCCCACCA